RNAcentral lists this ribosomal RNA (785 nucleotides) under uncultured bacterium. RNAcentral describes it as "bacterial SSU rRNA". It matches the Rfam family "Bacterial small subunit ribosomal RNA", at positions 66 to 829 of the family's 1533-position model. The record is from RNAcentral.
ACGCGAAAGGUUCCUUCGGGAGCCGAGUAGAGUGGCGCACGGGUGAGUAACACGUAGGUAAUUUGCCUUUGGGUGGGGAAUAACUCAGGGAAACUUGAGCUAAUACCGCAUAAUGCAGCGGCUCGACAUCGAGACAGUUGUUAAAGCGGGGGAUUCGUAAGAACCUCGCGCCUAAAGAGAAGCCUGCGGCAGAUUAGCUAGUUGGUAAGGUAAUGGCUUACCAAGGCGACGAUCUGUAACCGGCCUGAGAGGGCGGUCGGUCACACUGACACUGACAUACGGGUCAGACUCCUACGGGAGGCAGCAGUCGGGAAUUUUGGGCAAUGGGCGAAAGCCUGACCCAGCAACGCCGCGUGAAGGAUGAAAUUUUUCGGAAUGUAAACUUCGCAAGAACGGGAAGAAUAAGUGGGGGACAAUACCCCCCAUGAUGACGGUACCGUUUGUAAGCUCCGGCUAACUCCGUGCCAGCAGCCGCGGUAAUACGGGGGGAGCAAGCGUUGUUCGGAUUUACUGGGCGUAAAGGGCGCGUAGGCGGUCGUGACAAGUCACUUGUGAAAUCUCCGGGCUUAACUCGGAACGGUCAAGUGAUACUGUCGGACUAGAGUACAGAAGGGGCAACUGGAAUUCUCGGUGUAGCGGUGAAAUGCGUAGAUAUCGAGAGGAACACCUGCGGCGAAGGCGGGUUGCUGGGCUGAUACUGACGCUGAGGCGCGAAGCCAGGGGAGCGAACGGGAUUAGAUACCCCGGUAGUCCUGGCCUAAACGAUGAAUGCUUGGUGUCUCGGG